CAGGCAGAGAUGGUGGGAGACGAAGGCACGGAGACCCACUGAGCAAAGGCUCAGUGCUUGAGAGGGUGCAGAGUGUUCAAAGACUGCGGGUAGCCCCACAUGACAGAAGGGAGUUGAGACCGUGCCGUCUGGCAGGGACUUUACGUGCGGCGACAAAGGGAUCCGUUUAUCCACAGGAAACAGGAAGUCAGUGAUGGUGGCGAUGGCACGAGCCCAUGAAAGGAGGGGCGAUGAGAGACAUCAAGGAGGGUCCAGUCCAAGCAUCUCAUUGAGAGAGAAGAAAACUAAAAGGGCAGCGAAGAAAAGUGUCUCGGUCCAUUUGAGCUGCUACAACAAAAA
This is a long non-coding RNA of Herpailurus yagouaroundi (jaguarundi), 339 nucleotides long. RefSeq lists it as uncharacterized. NCBI's taxonomy places the organism in Eukaryota, Metazoa, Chordata, Mammalia, Carnivora, Felidae. The transcript has 2 exons. The record is from RefSeq and is a predicted model, not a curated record.